AGCGUACACGGUGGAUGCCCUGGCAGUCAGAGGCGAUGAAGGACGUGCUAAUCUGCGAUAAGCGUCGGUGAGGUGAUAUGAACCGUUAUAACCGGCGAUUUCCGAAUGGGGAAACCCAGUGUGUUUCGACACACUAUCAUUAACUGAAUCCAUAGGUUAAUGAGGCGAACCGGGGGAACUGAAACAUCUAAGUACCCCGAGGAAAAGAAAUCAACCGAGAUUCCCCCAGUAGCGGCGAGCGAACGGGGAGGAGCCCAGAGCCUGAAUCAGUGUGUGUGUUAGUGGAAGCGUCUGGAAAGGCGCGCGAUACAGGGUGACAGCCCCGUACACAAAAAUGCACAUACUGUGAGCUCGAUGAGUAGGGCGGGACACGUGGUAUCCUGUCUGAAUAUGGGGGGACCAUCCUCCAAGGCUAAAUACUCCUGACUGACCGAUAGUGAACCAGUACCGUGAGGGAAAGGCGAAAAGAACCCCGGCGAGGGGAGUGAAAAAGAACCUGAAACCGUGUACGUACAAGCAGUGGGAGCCUCUUAAUGGGGUGACUGCGUACCUUUUGUAUAAUGGGUCAGCGACUUAUAUUCUGUAGCAAGGUUAACCGAAUAGGGGAGCCGAAGGGAAACCGAGUCUUAACUGGGCGCUAAGUUGCAGGGUAUAGACCCGAAACCCGGUGAUCUAGCCAUGGGCAGGUUGAAGGUUGGGUAACACUAACUGGAGGACCGAACCGACUAAUGUUGAAAAAUUAGCGGAUGACUUGUGGCUGGGGGUGAAAGGCCAAUCAAACCGGGAGAUAGCUGGUUCUCCCCGAAAGCUAUUUAGGUAGCGCCUCGUGAAUUCAUCUCCGGGGGUAGAGCACUGUUUCGGCAAGGGGGUCAUCCCGACUUACCAACCCGAUGCAAACUGCGAAUACCGGAGAAUGUUAUCACGGGAGACACACGGCGGGUGCUAACGUCCGUCGUGAAGAGGGAAACAACCCAGACCGCCAGCUAAGGUCCCAAAGUCAUGGUUAAGUGGGAAACGAUGUGGGAAGGCCCAGACAGCCAGGAUGUUGGCUUAGAAGCAGCCAUCAUUUAAAGAAAGCGUAAUAGCUCACUGGUCGAGUCGGCCUGCGCGGAAGAUGUAACGGGGCUAAACCAUGCACCGAAGCUGCGGCAGCGACACUAUGUGUUGUUGGGUAGGGGAGCGUUCUGUAAGCCUGUGAAGGUGGCCUGUGAGGGUUGCUGGAGGUAUCAGAAGUGCGAAUGCUGACAUAAGUAACGAUAAAGCGGGUGAAAAGCCCGCUCGCCGGAAGACCAAGGGUUCCUGUCCAACGUUAAUCGGGGCAGGGUGAGUCGACCCCUAAGGCGAGGCCGAAAGGCGUAGUCGAUGGGAAACAGGUUAAUAUUCCUGUACUUGGUGUUACUGCGAAGGGGGGACGGAGAAGGCUAUGUUGGCCGGGCGACGGUUGUCCCGGUUUAAGCGUGUAGGCUGGUUUUCCAGGCAAAUCCGGAAAACCAAGGCUGAGGCGUGAUGACGAGGCACUACGGUGCUGAAGCGACAAAUGCCCUGCUUCCAGGAAAAGCCUCUAAGCAUCAGGUAACAUCAAAUCGUACCCCAAACCGACACAGGUGGUCAGGUAGAGAAUACCAAGGCGCUUGAGAGAACUCGGGUGAAGGAACUAGGCAAAAUGGUGCCGUAACUUCGGGAGAAGGCACGCUGAUAUGUAGGUGAAGCGACUUGCUCGUGGAGCUGAAAUCAGUCGAAGAUACCAGCUGGCUGCAACUGUUUAUUAAAAACACAGCACUGUGCAAACACGAAAGUGGACGUAUACGGUGUGACGCCUGCCCGGUGCCGGAAGGUUAAUUGAUGGGGUUAGCGGUAACGCGAAGCUCUUGAUCGAAGCCCCGGUAAACGGCGGCCGUAACUAUAACGGUCCUAAGGUAGCGAAAUUCCUUGUCGGGUAAGUUCCGACCUGCACGAAUGGCGUAAUGAUGGCCAGGCUGUCUCCACCCGAGACUCAGUGAAAUUGAACUCGCUGUGAAGAUGCAGUGUACCCGCGGCAAGACGGAAAGACCCCGUGAACCUUUACUAUAGCUUGACACUGAACAUUGAGCCUUGAUGUGUAGGAUAGGUGGGAGGCUUUGAAGUGUGGACGCCAGUCUGCAUGGAGCCGACCUUGAAAUACCACCCUUUAAUGUUUGAUGUUCUAACGUUGGCCCCUAAUCGGGGUUGCGGACAGUGUCUGGUGGGUAGUUUGACUGGGGCGGUCUCCUCCUAAAGAGUAACGGAGGAGCACGAAGGUUGGCUAAUCCUGGUCGGACAUCAGGAGGUUAGUGCAAUGGCAUAAGCCAGCUUGACUGCGAGCGUGACGGCGCGAGCAGGUGCGAAAGCAGGUCAUAGUGAUCCGGUGGUUCUGAAUGGAAGGGCCAUCGCUCAACGGAUAAAAGGUACUCCGGGGAUAACAGGCUGAUACCGCCCAAGAGUUCAUAUCGACGGCGGUGUUUGGCACCUCGAUGUCGGCUCAUCACAUCCUGGGGCUGAAGUAGGUCCCAAGGGUAUGGCUGUUCGCCAUUUAAAGUGGUACGCGAGCUGGGUUUAGAACGUCGUGAGACAGUUCGGUCCCUAUCUGCCGUGGGCGCUGGAGAACUGAGGGGGGCUGCUCCUAGUACGAGAGGACCGGAGUGGACGCAUCACUGGUGUUCGGGUUGUCAUGCCAAUGGCACUGCCCGGUAGCUAAAUGCGGAAGAGAUAAGUGCUGAAAGCAUCUAAGCACGAAACUUGCCCCGAGAUGAGUUCU
This 2773-nucleotide ribosomal RNA is filed under the name Escherichia coli. RNAcentral's name for it is "bacterial LSU rRNA". It matches the Rfam family "Bacterial large subunit ribosomal RNA". The record is from RNAcentral. Lineage: Bacteria; Pseudomonadati; Pseudomonadota; Gammaproteobacteria; Enterobacterales; Enterobacteriaceae.